GCUUAACGCGAAGAACCUUACCAGGCCUUGACAUGCACUAGACCGACUCUGAAAGGAGUCUUCCCUUCGGGGCUGGUGCACAGGUGCUGCAUGGCUGUCGUCAGCUCGUGUCGUGAGAUGUUGCGUUAAGUCGCGCAACGAGCGCAACCCCUGUCCUUAGUUGCCAUCAGGUAAAGCUGGGCACUCUAGGGAGACAAACCCUCUCUGGAGGGUGGGAAGGUGGGAUGACGUCAAGUCAGGAUGGCCCUUACGGCCUGGGCUGCACACGUGCUACAAUGCCCGGUACAGAGGGACGCAAUACCGCGAGGUGGAGACAAAUACCCGAAAAACCGGGCCCAGUUCAGAUUGCAGUCUGCAACUCGACUGCAUGAAGCCGGAAUCGCUAGUAAUGGCGUAUCAGCUACGACGCCGUGAAUACGUUCCCGGGUCUUGUACACACCG
This 441-nucleotide ribosomal RNA is filed under the name uncultured bacterium. RNAcentral's name for it is "bacterial SSU rRNA". It matches the Rfam family "Bacterial small subunit ribosomal RNA", at positions 954 to 1392 of the family's 1533-position model. The record is from RNAcentral.